Molecule: long non-coding RNA, 417 nt
Organism: Oncorhynchus nerka (sockeye salmon)
Lineage: Eukaryota; Metazoa; Chordata; Actinopteri; Salmoniformes; Salmonidae
Exons: 2
Source: RefSeq, a predicted model, not a curated record
UAAACAUAUCAAGCAAUGGCUCAAGGAUCAGGCCAUGGAACUCAUUAUAGAACUCACUACAAAACCUGUCUGAUCCUGGGUCCCUACCAUUUUGCAAAUUCUCAAUUCCAAACAUUAUCUCUUCCUUGGUAAUAGGGACAUUAAGGAGAGACUUCUGUUCUUCGGAAAUAUGGCUGAGUAUGACAUAAUCAGAUCCCUGGCGUACACUUUACAGGUUUCCCAAAGGAGUGACAAGCUUGUCUGUUGAUUGAGAGUUAACAAAGAAAAAUGCUUUAACCUCUGUAAUAAAAUAUUAUGUACAGUGCCUUCGGAAAGUAUUCGGAUUCCUUGACUUUUUCCACAUUUUGUUAUGUUACAGCCUUAUUCUAAAAUUAUUUUUAUCAAUUUGAUGACAAAGUAAAAACAGAUUUUUAGACA